RNAcentral lists this transfer RNA (73 nucleotides) under Solirubrobacteraceae bacterium. RNAcentral's name for it is "tRNA-Trp". It matches the Rfam family "tRNA". From Rfam's summary of the family: Transfer RNA (tRNA) molecules are approximately 80 nucleotides in length. Their secondary structure includes four short double-helical elements and three loops (D, anti-codon, and T loops). The record is from RNAcentral. Lineage: Bacteria; Bacillati; Actinomycetota; Thermoleophilia; Solirubrobacterales; Solirubrobacteraceae.
GGGGGACUAGUGUAUCGGUUUAACACGGCGGUCUCCAAAACCGCAGCGCCAGGUUCGACUCCUGGGUCCCCCG